GACGAACGCUGGCGGCGUGCCUAACACAUGCAAGUCGAGCGAAGCAUUCUGAGGGCUUGCCCGAAGGAUGACUUAGCGGCGGACGGGUGAGUAACGCGUGAACAAUCUGGCCUUUACAGGGGGAUAACAACCGGAAACAGUUGCUAAUACCGCAUAUGACCACAGUAUCGCAUGAUACAGGGGUGAAAGAUUUAUCGGUAAAGGGGGAGUUCGCGUCCCAUUAGUUAGUUGGUGAGGUAACGGCUCACCAAGGCGACGAUGGGUAGCCGACCUGAGAGGGUGAACGGCCACAUUGGAACUGAGACACGGUCCAA
This 314-nucleotide ribosomal RNA is filed under the name uncultured bacterium. RNAcentral describes it as "bacterial SSU rRNA". It matches the Rfam family "Bacterial small subunit ribosomal RNA", at positions 28 to 334 of the family's 1533-position model. The record is from RNAcentral.